This 76-nucleotide transfer RNA is filed under the name Gemmatimonadota bacterium. RNAcentral describes it as "Gemmatimonadetes bacterium tRNA-Asn". It matches the Rfam family "tRNA". From Rfam's summary of the family: Transfer RNA (tRNA) molecules are approximately 80 nucleotides in length. Their secondary structure includes four short double-helical elements and three loops (D, anti-codon, and T loops). The record is from RNAcentral. Lineage: Bacteria; Pseudomonadati; Gemmatimonadota. RNAcentral also lists the same sequence under 2 other names.
UCCGGCGUAGCUCAGUCGGCAGAGCAAGUGGCUGUUAACCACUGGGUCGUAGGUUCGAGUCCUACCGCCGGAGCCA